This 253-nucleotide ribosomal RNA is filed under the name uncultured bacterium. Its description in RNAcentral is "partial 16S ribosomal RNA". It matches the Rfam family "Bacterial small subunit ribosomal RNA", at positions 524 to 776 of the family's 1533-position model. The record is from RNAcentral.
GACGUAGGGGGCCAGCGUUGUUCGGAAUUACUGGGCGUAAAGCGUGCGUAGACGGUUAUGUAAGUCGGGUGUGAAAGCCCCGGGCUCAACCUGGGAAUUGCAUUCGAGACUGCAUAGCUAGGGUGCGGAAGAGGGAAGCGGAAUUUCCGGUGUAGCGGUGAAAUGCGUAGAUAUCGGAAGGAACACCAGUGGCGAAGGCGGCUUCCUGGUCCAGCACCGACGUUCAGGCACGAAAGCGUGGGGAGCAAACAGG